CGCAUCUGUGCAUGCAGCAUAUCAAUAAGCGGAGGAAAAGAAACUAACAAGGAUUCCCUUAGUAACGGCGAGUGAAGCGGGAAGAGCUCAAAUUUGAAAUCUUCAAGGUUUUACCUUGACGAAUUGUAGUUUAAAGAAGUGUUUUCUGUUGAAGUUUUGGUAAAAGUUCUUUGGAAUAGGACAUCAUAGAGGGUGAGAAUCCCGUAUUUGACCAUUAUUUUCAGCUGCGUGAUACACUUUCAAAGAGUCGGAUUGUUUGGGAAUGCAGUCCAAAAUGGGUGGUAAAUUUCAUCUAAAGCUAAAUAUUGGCGAGAGACCGAUAGCGAACAAGUACCGUGAGGGAAAGAUGAAAAGAACUUUGAAAAGAGAGUUAAACAGUACGUGAAAUUGUCAAAAGGGAAGCGUUUGACACCAGUGUUGUUUUCUCGAAAAUCAAUUAAAAAGAGUUUGAUUUUGUUGUGUAUUGACCUUAACAGCUUGCAUUUCAAUUUUCUUGCUUUUUUUAAUGCACUUUUCGUUUAACAAGUCAACAUCAGUUUCUUUUGUUGUAAAAAGGUCAUUGGAAGGUGGCUUUCUUUUCGGAGAAAGUGUUUAUAGCCUUUGACUCCUGCAAUCGGAGAGACUGAGGUCUGCAGCGUAGAUCCUUCGGGGUUAGAUACAUUUGUGCUAAGUUAUAGCUUUUUAUAGACAACUUGUUGACUAUGAUUAGUCUUGUAGCUUACUCGCUUAUGCUAUUUUACCUACGCUUAGGAUGUUGACACACGCGCGUGCUCG
This 774-nucleotide ribosomal RNA is filed under the name uncultured Neocallimastigales. RNAcentral's name for it is "partial large subunit ribosomal RNA". It matches the Rfam family "Eukaryotic large subunit ribosomal RNA", at positions 26 to 643 of the family's 3401-position model. Lineage: Eukaryota; Fungi; Neocallimastigomycota; Neocallimastigomycetes; Neocallimastigales. The record is from RNAcentral.